This is a non-coding RNA of Schizosaccharomyces pombe (fission yeast), 424 nucleotides long. The record is from the annotation of a GenBank genome assembly. NCBI's taxonomy places the organism in Eukaryota, Fungi, Ascomycota, Schizosaccharomycetes, Schizosaccharomycetales, Schizosaccharomycetaceae.
UAACCGCCAAGCAUAUCAGAAGAUUCCGUCUGUUGAGACAUAUUAAUUACAGUAACUUUCUGACCUAACAAGCCAGCUAAAAGUUGGAUAGUAGUGGUCUUACCAGUACCAGUCUCACCAACUAGAAGCAAUGGUUCGUUUGUUUGAACACCUGCAGCCAGCUGUUCCAAUAAGCCAAGAGAUGAAGAUGUGAAAGCAUAUGAAUUAGUGGAACAAGAACGAAUAGUAGACAAUUUCUUAAGUGAACAUCUACCUAUGUUUAUGUUAUGUUCCAAAUUUUGAAAUACAGGAAUAGAAUAUCGUAAUUGUAAAGCCUUUUCAGGUGGUAUAUUUAACUCUAUAGCGACGUUACGCACCACAAGAUCAAAACCGUCUCUAGAAGGAAUAAACGCACCAAACAUAUCGAUAGCCUCUUUAAAAACUG